This 481-nucleotide ribosomal RNA is filed under the name uncultured bacterium. RNAcentral describes it as "partial 16S ribosomal RNA". It matches the Rfam family "Bacterial small subunit ribosomal RNA", at positions 28 to 507 of the family's 1533-position model. The record is from RNAcentral.
GAUGAACGCUGGCGGCGUGCUUAACACAUGCAAGUCGAACGAAGCACUUUAUUUGAUUUCCUUCGGGACUGAUUAUUUUGUGACUGAGUGGCGGACGGGUGAGUAACGCGUGGGUAACCUGCCUUGUACAGGGGGAUAACAGUUGGAAACGGCUGCUAAUACCGCAUAAGCGCCCAGCAUCGCAUGAUGCAGUGUGAAAAACUCCGGUGGUAUAAGAUGGACCCGCGCUGGAUUAGCUAGUUGGUGAGGUAACGGCCCACCAAGGCGACGAUCCAUAGACGAACUGAGAGGGUGACCGGCCACAGUGGGACUGAGACACGGCCCAAACUCCUACGGGAGGCAGCAGUGGGGAAUAUUGCAAAAUGGGCGAAAGCAUGAUGCAGCGACGCCGCGUGAGCGAAGAAGUAUGUCGGGAUGUAAAGCUCUAUCAGCAGGGAAGAUAAUGACGGUACCUGACUAAGAAGCACCGGCUAAAUACGUG